Molecule: ribosomal RNA, 485 nt
Filed under: uncultured organism
Description: bacterial SSU rRNA
Rfam family: Bacterial small subunit ribosomal RNA
Source: RNAcentral
GAUGAACGCUAGCGGCAGGCUUAACACAUGCAAGUCGAGGGGCAGCGCGGUGUAGCAAUACACUGGCGGCGACCGGCGGAAGGGUGCGUAACGCGUGAGCAACUUGCCCGUGACAGGGGGAUAACCGGUGGAAACGCCGCCUAAGACCCCGUAACAACAUCUCCCGCAUGGGGAAUGUUUGAAAUCUUCGGAGGUCACGGAUGGGCUCGCGUGGCAUUAGCCAGUUGGCGGGGUAACGGCCCACCAAAGCGACGAUGCCUAGGGGUUCUGAGAGGAAGGUCCCCCACACUGGAACUGAGACACGGUCCAGACUCCUACGGGAGGCAGCAGUGAGGAAUAUUGGACAAUGGAGGAAACUCUGAUCCAGCCAUGCCGCGUGAAGGAAGUAGGCCCUAUGGGUCGUGAACUUCUUUUGGCGCAGAGCAAUAAGGGCCACGCGUGGUCCGAUGAGAGUAUGCGUCGAAUAAGCAUCGGCUAACUCCGUG